Molecule: ribosomal RNA, 253 nt
Filed under: uncultured bacterium
Lineage: Bacteria
Description: partial 16S ribosomal RNA
Rfam family: Bacterial small subunit ribosomal RNA
Source: RNAcentral
UACAGAGGGGGCAAGCGUUAUUCGGAAUUAUUGGGCGUAAAGGGCGCGUAGGCGGCCUGGCAAGUGGAAGGUGAAAUCCCUCGGCUUAACCGAGGAACUGCCCUCCAAACUGCUUGGCUUGAGUCCGGGAGAGGUGAGUGGAAUUCCCAGUGUAGCGGUGAAAUGCGUAGAUAUCGGGAGGAACACCAAUGGCGAAGGCAGCACUCUGGGACGGUACUGACGCUGAGACGCGAAAGCGUGGGGAGCAAACAGG